Molecule: long non-coding RNA, 6805 nt
Filed under: Triticum aestivum (bread wheat)
Lineage: Eukaryota; Viridiplantae; Streptophyta; Magnoliopsida; Poales; Poaceae
Description: long non-coding RNA (TAES_LNC008949)
Source: RNAcentral
UCUCUCCCACCGCUGCCCCCUCCCAUCCCCUUCCUCCACUCAUCCGACGACGUGGACUGGGAUUACAGGUUCACUGGCAUUUUCAGUGUACUGACAUUGUCAUUGUGGUUUCAAUAGAAAUGACCUUUUUCCUAAUUAGUAACAAAGAUCAAAGUUAAUAUAUUUGUGAUAUUUUUGUGUAAUAUUAUUGUUUGCAAUGAGACUACUCGGGAAUACAGGGUACUGUAUUUUUUUAUAACUGAAGAGGGAGUAUAAAUCGUCCAGUGAGUACAGUAUAGAUUGAUUAUAAACAUGAUAACCUACUGUGAUAUUUUAGCAGGAACAAUAGUCGUGAUGGUCUGCAAGCUAUCAUUAUUGUCAUAUGUGAUAUUUGAUCUUAGUGGUGCCAUUUUUGUUCCCCUUAUAAAAGUUGUGGUGUGCCGAUUGACAGUUUAAUAGUUGUUUCGCUUGGCAGGCCAGAAGGUGGUUUACAAUAUUUUCAAAAAAGAUGCUGAAGCUGAUUCAAGAAAUGCUACUAAGGCUGGUGAUCAAAAUCCUGCACCACCAAAGCAAGGUUUCAUCCAUGUGAGGUCAAGAAGGGGUCAAGCAACUGACAGCCAUAGCCUUGCAGAAAGGGUCAGUUCAAUGCACAAUUUUCAGUUUUGACUAUUCUAAAUGUAUUCUUUUUGAAUUUGUGUAUUCUUAUACACCCCAUGGAUACACAUUCACACUCCGCAUUACAGAAGCUACAAAUCUGGUCGCUAAAAGUCUACUUUUUUUAACGGGCACGGCGUGAGAAAAUAACCAAGCGGAUGAAAAUUCUCCAAGACCCUGUCCCUGGAUGUAAUAAAGGUGCAUAUUAAUCUCAACAAGAAUUCUAUAUUUUUUAUGUUUACAUUUUGUCCCACCAAUGUCCAGAUAUGAUUGAAAAGUAAGGAUUAUAAAAUUCAAAUAAUGGAGAAAUAAGAGACUAUACAGAGACCUCCACAUAUGAUAAAUAAUAUAAAGAUGUAGUUUCGAUAUUGUGUGGUGGUCCAGUAUCGCACCCUUUGGAAAAAAAAUCAGGAAGGUAUUUGGGUCCAAUCUAUAAUAUCAAUCCAGUGUGGUAUAUCAUUGCUGCUUUCACCACAUGUACCAUUAAUCCAGUGUGGUAUAUAAUUGCUGCUUUGCCCAUCUGUACCAUCAAUUACGAAGAACCAACGGCCACAUUUCAUUGUUGAUUAACAGUGACUAAUUUAACUUGAGAUGCAAAUAACCCAUUGGUGUAACUGGAGUUCUAAUACCAAAGAUAGUCUCCGGUCAUGAUCAAGCAACCAGAGUUAUUCUGCUUAAGGGAAAUAAAUAACAUAGUAAAAAUAAAUAAAUAACAAUGCCUGUGCCUGCUUUGGGGCCGCAUCAUAAAUAUUUCUCUAAUGUAGAACACUCCAGUGGAGUCUAGUUUUACAACAACAGAGUGACCCAGGCAGUGUGGAAUAUUUGUGCAGGAAUACAAAGCCGAGUUUAGAUGUAGUAGAUGAUUGAUUAGAAAACAACAACAGAAUAAUAUACAUAAGCAAACCAGCAAAACAAAAAAUAAUGUCACAUACAGCAAAAUUUGGCAACUUGCAAAGUCUCAAAUUCGAGGCAAUAUUAUUAUUACUUGACUUGUAGCAUAAACAUAAUAAAGUUCAAUUGGUAACUUUAAAAGAUAGAGAUCUGUACAAGAACACCGAAGAGUACCAAAUUAUAUGUAGCAUAAGAGUAAAUCCCUGUCAUAUCUAAGAGCGGACUUCAACCUGUAAGGACUUCCUUAUAGACGAUGUUCUUCAUCGAGGUCUGUAAGGACAAGGCAGGUCUUUUUCGCUUCUUUGAUUUAUUGCUUCGCUUCUGGCCAUUCUCCUUCUCCUUCUCCUUCUCAAUGAGGAUCUUUAUGCUUCUCUUCGCAGUGGCUCGAGACAAUGCGACAUAGAGUUGACCAUGAGAGAACACCAGAUUGGGUAAGUACACACCAACGAUCGGAAUCGUCUAUCCUUGAGCCUUGUUAAUCGUCAUAGCAAAGCUAAGCCUUACAGGAAAUUGCUUCCUCUGGAACUUGAAUGGAAACAUCUCAUUGUGAGACGGGCAUAGGGGUAUUCGAGGAAGGAAAACCCUCCUACCCGCGUGUUGUCCAAUCACGAUUUCUGCGUCGAUGGUGUUCCUCUAGAAACCUCGCACCACAAGCCUCGUCCCAUUACACAGACCAUUAGCCUGAUCAAUGUUCCUCAGAACUAUGACAGGGCAGUUGUGCUUCAGUUUGAGUGCAUGCGGAGGCAGACCGUUGGGAGUCAAUCCAUUAAGGAACUCGGGAGCGUAGUAGCCAUAUGGGUCGUCCUCCGCACUGUCAAAGGUAUGGUAGAUUACUUCUUCUCCCUGAAAAUGUUCUACCAUGCGUAUGUUUAUCUUGUCGACGUUGUCGUUAGUGGUGGAGAGGAUUGCGCGAGAAGUCAUGUAAUUUGGAUCGGACAUGUUGUCAUAUAGUCUCGAAAACACAUGGUCAAUCAGCUUCUCCAGGUCGUCACCCUCGCUUGUAGACGGCACAUAAAUAUCUUUAGGGAGUCGUAUGUUUCCUUGAUCGUCAACUUCCUCGGUGCCAUUGCCUACCCUUAGCAAGUAAUCCGCAAACUAGGUGUCAUUAUGAGCCCUCAUGUUGCUGACGAGCCUUAGCUGGCGCAUACCAUUCCAGAGAUGUGAACUUCGGAGGGUUGCAUCAAUUAUCUGACCCCGGGAUCCCCUCCUGACGACCGGAAGCACCUGCCUGAAGUCCCCGCCAAACACAACAGUUUACCUUCAAAGGGUCGGUCCCGUCUUCCCAUGACGUUGCGCAUGCUGUUGUCCACUGCCUCGACCGCAUGUCGCUUAGUCAUGGUGGCCUCGUCCCAUAGUAUCAAUGAGGCCAUCCUCAGUAGCUUGGCGGUACCACUCUGCUUCGUGAAGGUGCAUGAGGCGCCGUCGUCGCAGCUCAAUGGGAUCUUGAACCUGGAGUGGGCAGUCCUACCUCCAGGCAUGAUAGAAGCGGCGACGCCUGACGUUGCGGUAGCGAUAGUGAUGUUUCCCUCGCUUCGAACCUUGGCGAGUAGCGCCCUGUACAUGAAGGUCUUCCCUAUACCUCCCAGGCCAUCAACAAAGAACACCCCCCGUCACCACGUUCAACUGCAGCUAGUAUCUCGUCGUAUGCAGCCCUCUGCUCCAAGUUUAGCAACGAUGCAAAUUUAGUGUCGUUGAUGUCAAAAUCGACGGUGGAUUCCUCGAUCACCUCUCUGGCCUCGCCCUCGAUUGGGUCGAACGCAUCAUCAAUGCUUGGAAGAGCAAAAAUCAACUAUGUCUUUGCCCAUAGACUUCAACAUACCCCUAAUGUCAAGUAACACCAUCUGCUCCACCUCAACCGGGCACGUGUGUGAUCGGCGAUAGUCAUCAGACAAAGGCUCAAAGUGCCUUUCCCAUAAACCACGCACGUCGCUCGGCUCACAGUGCACCAAAAUUGUUGCGAAGAGCCUCCUGAGCGAACAUGGCAUCGCCCACUGCUCUGCCUCGGUAAGACAGUCGUCGAGCGUGUUAUCUGCCUCAAUGAGUCCCAACCUUUCGGCAGCCUCUCUAAAUCUCCCGCAUAGCCUACCGUCCAUGGUGAGAAGGUCCUCAUAGCAUGUCUUGCCAGCAACAUGGUUUAGCAGCACAUGCAAAUAGUAUCGCUCCCCCUCGGCAGGAUUGGCAGACACAAUUCGACCUAUCUGAUAACGCUCCACCCGCUCUUUCCAAUACUUCUUACCCUUCUGCCAUGUGAACCUUCCAGGAAAAUCCUUGUACAAUAUAUUCCUAGCCCACGGGUGGUUUUGGUUAGCUUUGAAAUACUCUGUCAACAUGGAUUUGGAAGCAUUGUCAGAGGCGACUAUGUCAGUCAAGUGACCUUGCUCAUUGAAUGCCACCCUGUGCAUAUUCGGGAGAUGAAGAGGCAACUGUAGGACAGGUGGGUCAUUGGCACACAAGGCAAAGCGAAAUAUCCUCCACAUCACCUUUGGAGGAGUAACCCACCUCGCGUCUACGUAUCUUUUGAUCUCAUCAAUGUUACCAUCGGCACCAGGCUGGUCGAUGCUGAAAGAAGCCCUAUCAUGGCCCUUGUAUAUGUACUUGUAAAGGUAUUUGACGGCCUUUAUGCUGGAGCAAACCUCAACGUUGAUGUGGCAAUUGAACAUCCGCAGAAGGUAAGGGUUAUACGGCCCAACCCAUUUGUUGUCCAAAAAUUUACCCCGGACCUUAUCCUGCCGACCAUCAUCUCGACGGCGAUAAACUGGGUAUGAGUCCUUGCCAUGUGCUGUGUUUUCAUUGAACUGCCGCGGGUAUCUGCACUUGCACUCAUUCUGUUGCAUGCACACAUUUUUGGGGUUGAGAGCACCGCAUGGUCCGUGCAUCAUAUGUUUCACCACCAAGGCGUGGAGUUCAGGAUACUUCUGCUUGUCUGGGAGCUCGGCAGAAAUGAGUCGGUCGUACUGCUCCGGAACGACAAGCUUAUAGGCAGAAUCCAUGAUCAACAAAAAGUGUGCGUGGGGGAGGCCCCUCUUCUGGAACUCAACUACGUAUACAUGUGCGACAACAACACCCAGGAUAAUCUUCUUGAACAACAUCUCUUUCAUAGCCUCUAGCUUGCCAUGGAACACACGAGCCACAAGAUCAGGUCAGUCUUGCGUUGUCUGACCAGGAAACAACUCAUUCAUUAUCUCUUCCCAGUUAGGGUUGCAGGUCAUGGUCAAGAAGAUGUCAGGCUUCCCGUAGGUAUGGACAAUUGCCAUGGCAUCCAUAUGUCUCCGUUUCAUGUCGCGGUCGCCACCUGGGUACGUUCCAGGGAGCACAAUCCUUACUCCAACAGCGCUUGCUCGGGUCUCCCCAGAUGUAAUUGCAACAACAACUCCCUUAUAUAGGUCGGCACGGAUCUUUGUUUGGUUCUUCCUAUACCAUUUCAACCAGAACUCUCAAUCUUGAUGUACAUGCCCACCCCCCAUUGUUGGAGCAAUCGUGCUCCACAGAGUAUGGGAUUGAAUAUACCAGGUCGUGUCUGCAGCAUGUAACAGUAGUAGUCUCUCACUGAGACGCAUAACCUGCUAUUCCCCUCUGCAUAUGGAUGAGUAUUCCGGACAUUAGGAUUCAUACGAGAACUAUACAAUUCAUCUAAACGACAGAAUACGCAUAAGGCUUACCUGCAUCCUCCUCCUCAUCAUCAUCAUCAUCAUUAUCACGUCUGCCUCUUGGUUGUUGCACAACCGGCCAAGGGACAUCACGUUUAGGUAGUUUUGGAUGCCAACCAAGCUCACCCCUUGGGAAGAAUAAUGGGUAAGAGAGCGAGUCAUAUGAGCCAGACGUCACAUGUAUACUGUGCCUCUGGUUGUCAUUCCCGCGAAAUGUAAUCCUCCGAUCGAAUCUCUUUGCUAGGUCAGUGCCCUCCACCCAAAUUGCAGUGACCUCCGAUGAUAGAGGUGUAUUAUACUUCCGUUGAUCUAGUCUCUGGUCCGUGUUGAGGUCUAUCCUGUAAUCGUCGAGGUUGUCCCUGUGGGCACCCAAACUCCUAAACUGUUGGGAGUACGGGUAUUCCUUGAGUAUGUCAACUAACUUCCUGACGACAUUCUGAUCUAAUUGCUUGGUGGCAGGCUGGCUAUGGGUUAGGCCUGGGUCGUUGUUGUAGAAGUACAACAGUAGAUGCUCUGGACGGGAUGUUGUUCCGAAGGAAUGAUUGUUGUGGUAGAUGGUGCCGUGCGCCUGGAAGGUGUACACCCCAGACUUCAUGUUUGUGUAGCUUUCAUGCAGGCUGACGCCGAGCGUUGUGAAGGAGAAGUGGCCGUUGAAGAAUCGUAUGUUCUCCCGAAAAUGCCUAGAGUACGCAUCCUAGCUAGACCAAAGCCUCAUUAGCUCCGUGAUGGGCUCCGGUUGCUUCAGCUUGAUCUGCCCAUUGCGAUAGCAGAAUCUCGAGGCCUCGUAGACAAACUUCUUGGCCUUGCAGUGGUCGCAGUUCGCGGCGUGCUUGAUGAUGUGUGUACCAUCGGGGAGGUUUGAGUACACAUUAUCCAAGGGAUCAUGGUCGACAUAGGUAUUGUGACUUGAGUCUUCCAAUACGUCGUGCUCCAUGUCAUCAGCAACCGAGCCUGCAAACAAUGUUUCGAAUUAAUGCGAUACUCCCAACGUGUGGAUCUUUCUCAAGCUGGUGUACAUACCUUCACCAGCAAACAGGUAAUACUCAUCAUCGAAGAGGUUGUCAGGGUUGGCAUUAUCAUUCAUGAGACCACUAAGGUAAGCAUCCAUGUCGUCUGCGCGGGUGCCGAAUCAAUAAAUGAGGGUUAAGUGUCAAGGGACGCAAGGAGAGUAAGGAUGGGAGUGUUACCUUCACUCCUGAUCGUGUACUCCGGUGCGUUAGAUGAGAUUGAGGCACCGUGUGCUUCAAGUAUGGUUGGUUGUCCCGUUGAGCUCAUUUUCGGUAUGAAGAUGGUCCUGGCGGUUGGGGUCUUCACCCUACUUGCAAAGCUUGCAUUACGACGAUUUAGCAGAGCCUUCCUCUCACCACAUGGCACCUGCGUACAUGAUUUUCGCUUGCCAAGUUUCUCCUGACGCUUCUUCGUCGCCAAACCUCCCUUGCAAGCUCGCUCUCUCGUCCUAAGAUGAGCUCUCGACUCAUGCUUCUCCUCGUCAGCUGCACUAUCCACUAUUGUUAGCGGAUCACUGGUUUGCUGGUUGACACUUUUUAGGUGAUCAUCGUUUUCGAUGAGGUGGCGAUCUACAGCACCGUCACCAAAUGUUCUACUUAGGUAUGCACGUGCAACAUUUUUGAAUU